Long non-coding RNA from Etheostoma cragini (Arkansas darter), 91 nucleotides. RefSeq lists it as uncharacterized. NCBI's taxonomy places the organism in Eukaryota, Metazoa, Chordata, Actinopteri, Perciformes, Percidae. The record is from RefSeq and is a predicted model, not a curated record. The transcript is spliced from 3 exons.
GGAGGAAUGCAUUAUGGAAAUGAUGGGUCCCCACAAAAAUAGUGAGACGCACUGUGUGUGUGUGUGUGUGUGUGUGUGUGUGUGUGUCUGU